This 484-nucleotide ribosomal RNA is filed under the name uncultured Fluviicola sp. RNAcentral describes it as "bacterial SSU rRNA". It matches the Rfam family "Bacterial small subunit ribosomal RNA", at positions 28 to 505 of the family's 1533-position model. The record is from RNAcentral. Lineage: Bacteria; Pseudomonadati; Bacteroidota; Flavobacteriia; Flavobacteriales; Crocinitomicaceae.
GAUGAACGCUAGCGGCAGGCCUAACACAUGCAAGUCGAGGGGUAACAGAAGAAAGCUUGCUUUUUUGCUGACGACCGGCGCACGGGUGCGUAACGCGUAUGCAACCUACCUCUUACUGGAGGAUAGCCCUAAGAAAUUGGGAUUAAUACUCCAUAGUAAUACAAUUUCGCAUGUUAUAGUAUUUAAAGGUUACGGUAAGAGAUGGGCAUGCGUCCCAUUAGCUAGAUGGUAAGGUAACGGCUUACCAUGGCUACGAUGGGUAGGGGGCCUGAGAGGGUGACCCCCCACACUGGUACUGAGACACGGACCAGACUCCUACGGGAGGCAGCAGUGAGGAAUAUUGGUCAAUGGACGCAAGUCUGAACCAGCCAUGCCGCGUGCAGGAAGAAUGUCCUAUGGAUUGUAAACUGCUUUUAUUUGGGAAUAAACCCCUUUACGUGUAGAGGGCUGAAUGUACCAAAUGAAUAAGCACCGGCUAACUCCG